GGCCUUGUGGUCUAGUGGUAUGAUUCUCGCUAAGGGUGCGAGAGGUCCCAGAUUCGAUCUCCGGCAAGGCCC
RNAcentral lists this transfer RNA (72 nucleotides) under Phytophthora infestans T30-4. RNAcentral's name for it is "tRNA-Pro for anticodon UGG". Lineage: Eukaryota; Oomycota; Peronosporomycetes; Peronosporales; Peronosporaceae. The record is from RNAcentral.